AUUUUCCCUCUCCCAUGGCGACCAAAUUGACGCUCUCCUUACCGUCUUCGAGUUCGCUCACUGUUCCGAUUCAAAAUCAGAAACCGGCAGCUUCUCUGCUUUCGCCUUCUUCAAGGUCCCAAUUGGUUAGGGCUUCUAGCCGGCGAUUGUUCCUUCGCCGCCGACUGGUUCUUCCCCCUCCCCGGGCAGCUACUGAUCAACCAGGUCAGGUUGAGGGAGAUGAGGUUGUUGAU
This 233-nucleotide unclassified non-coding RNA is filed under the name Hevea brasiliensis (rubber tree). Lineage: Eukaryota; Viridiplantae; Streptophyta; Magnoliopsida; Malpighiales; Euphorbiaceae. The record is from RNAcentral.